GGAGAGCCUUGCUCUCCAGAGAGUUAGCGGCGGACGGGUGAGUAACACGUAGGUAACCUGCCUGUAAGACUGGGAUAACUAGCGGAAACGUUAGCUAAUACCGGAUAAUUUAUUUUCUCGCAUGGGGAAGUAAUGAAAGACGGAGCAAUCUGUCACUUGCAGAUGGACCUGCGGCGCAUUAGCUAGUUGGUGGGGUAACGGCUCACCAAGGCGACGAUGCGUAGCCGACCUGAGAGGGUGAACGGCCACACUGGGACUGAGACACGGCCCAGACUCCUACGGGAGGCAGCAGUAGGGAAUCUUCCGCAAUGGACGAAAGUCUGACGGAGCAACGCCGCGUGAGUGAUGAAGGUUUUCGGAUCGUAAAGCUCUGUUGCCAGGGAAGAACGUUCGGUAGAGUAACUGCUACCGGAGUGACGGUACCUGAGAAGAAAGCCCCGGCUAACUACGUGCCAGCAGCCGCGGUAAUACGUAGGGGGCAAGCGUUGUCCCGGAAUUAUUGGGCGUAAAGCGCGCGCAGGCGGCUAUUUAAGUCUGGUGUUUAAUCCUAAGGCUCAACCUGAGGUCGCAUUGGAAACUGGGUAGCUUGAGUGCAGAAGAGGAGAGUGGAAUUUCCACGUGUAGCGGUGAAAUGCGUAGAGAUGUGGAGGAACACCAGUGGCGAAGGCGACUCUCUGGGCUGUAACUUGACGCUGAGGCGCGAAAGCGUGGGGGAGCAAACAGGAUUAGAUACCCCUGGCAGUCCCACGCCGUAUACCAAUGAAUGCUAGGCGUUAGGGGUUUCGAUACCCCUUGGUGGCGAAGUUAACACAUUUUAGCAUUCC
RNAcentral lists this ribosomal RNA (824 nucleotides) under Paenibacillus sp. Its description in RNAcentral is "bacterial SSU rRNA". It matches the Rfam family "Bacterial small subunit ribosomal RNA", at positions 72 to 870 of the family's 1533-position model. The record is from RNAcentral. Lineage: Bacteria; Bacillati; Bacillota; Bacilli; Caryophanales; Paenibacillaceae.